This 585-nucleotide ribosomal RNA is filed under the name Triticum aestivum (bread wheat). Its description in RNAcentral is "partial small subunit ribosomal RNA". Lineage: Eukaryota; Viridiplantae; Streptophyta; Magnoliopsida; Poales; Poaceae. The record is from RNAcentral.
AUGGCCUCCAACAACAACAAAACAUUGAAGGGGGGCAGUAGCAAGACGGUUACUCCACAGAAGAUUCAUUCGGCUUCACCAACACCUAAUACUCGACAACAUGAUGCCCUGAAUGCAAGGGCUGCCGCGGGGGCAAGUAGCAAGACGGUUACUCCACUGAAGAUUCAUUCGGUUUUGCCAACACCUAAUACUCAAAAACCAGAUGCCCUGAAUGCACGUUCUGCCACGGCGAUGAGUACGAAUCACAUUACUCCACUGGCAUCACGAAAUGCCGGGGGCAAUAGCAAGACGGUUACUCCAAUGAAUAUUCAUUUGGCUUCGCCAACACCUAAUACUCGACAACAGGAUGCCCUGAAUGCACAGGCUGCCACGGCUAGUGGUAUGCCUGCGAGUGCAAGGAAACCAUCCACAACAGAGUGGCAGAAACAAAGUCAGGCAUCUUCUACUGAUCAACCUAGACGUCAUGUCCCAUCAUCAUCAGAGAGCAAUAGGAAUGGGCAAUCAUCAACAAGCAGCAGUCAAAGGGGGCAUGCGGAGUCUCAUGGUGCCGGAAAACCGAAGUCUGCAGGAACAAAAAACAAGUGA